UUGGAGCAGGUAUAUCUUGAAGUCUCCCCAACAGAAACUCAAUCAACUCUAGCAUCCAGCAUGGGCAGACGUACCUAGAUCUGCACAAAAAUGUGCAGAAGCAUAGUAUGAGUACACCACAAUGGUCCCCAGUAAGUAUAAAGCUUAACCUCAGUAGAGUAGUGAUUUAUCCAGGUCAAGACACCUACUAAGAUAUAAAUAAGCAGUAUGAAAAUGUAAUACGAGUAUAUAUUGGAAGGCGAAUGACGUCGCGUGGCUUCAAAUAGUUCUCCUACAAGCAACACGCACAUAAGUCCCACCUUAUACCACCGCAUGCACAUCAACCCCAAACCGUAUACCACCGCAUGUGCAUCAAUAUCUCAUGACAAUAGUAACUGGCACCACAAGUGACCAGAUAUCACAAUUUGCCAACAAUCCACAAUCCCAAUGUUUCCACAACAAUAUCCCACGACUCUACCACAACGGGUACAAAAAUAUCAACAACAACAACGAUGAAUGUAUAAUGCUCAAAAGGAAGAUAUUUCAACAAUAACGACUUUUACACCUUUAAAAUCAACAAUGAGAGGCAAAGCAUAACAACGACGUUAAAAUAAGAAUAACUCACAAUGGAAGAGACAACGAGUAGCAAUGUCUUUAGAUAAUGGAAAUCAACAAUGAAAGAGAUAACAUAAACAAUAACUUCAAUUAAUGAUAUUCAACAAUAAAAGAGAUAACAUGUGUAAUGACUUCAAAUAAUAAUAAUCAAUAAUGAAGAGAUAACAUUUAACAAUAAAAGAGGCAACGAGUUCAACUAAAACUGGAGAGAAAUUUAUCAAUUAGGAGAUAGAACGAGUGUUAACGAAAUCAUUUAAGGCAUGUAUGGCUAGUCUAAUACAAGUAAGGAUAGAUUGACUAAGAGAUUUUAGAACAUGAUAUGGCAUUUCAAUUAUAGCAUGGAAAUAGCCUAAACCGGUCAAAUACCAUGUACAACCCGUGUACCCACUCGUCACCUUGCGUACACGAAUUUCACUUAGCAUAAUUGAAUCAAACAAUAUCAAUCCUAAGGGGUAGUUUCCCCACACGAAGUUAGGAAAGAUACUUACCUCAACUAGGCCAAAUCAACACUUGGAAAUAGCUUGUCCCUUAAAAUUUGCCUCCAUAUGGCUCAAAUUUAAUCAAAAUCGACUUAAUAUCAUCAAAGAAUACUAGGGAAAUUAAUUGCAAUAAAUAAAGCUAAGAUCUUUAUACUUUUCCCAAAAGGUUAACCUGGGGCCCACCCGGUCAAAACCUGAGUCCAAUGGUAGAUUCCGCCUACACAUGACCCCACAAGUUCAUAUUUGUGAUUAGUUUCAAAAUCCGAGUCAAAUCGACUCUGAAAACUCAAUUUCUUUUUUUCACAAACUUGAUAAAGUUUCACAAACUUUCACUUUGAUUCACAUGUAAGAUAUGUUGAUGGAAUAUGAUUAGAAAGGAUUAGAAUCAAACCCAAGGUUUGUAGAUAAAAAUAUCCUCUCCAAAUCGCCUUCUAACGAGUCUAGGGUUCAAAAAUGAGAGAAUGAGUUCAAAAAUCCCAUCUCCCAGACCUUUUACCUACUGCAGAUGUCGCAUUUGCGACACAAGGUUCACAUUUGCGAGCCUAUGGGGCUCCAAACCAAACCUUCACAUAAGUCUAAAAAAUCAUAAAAAACUCACUCGCGCAAUCAAAACACCAAUAUAACAUCUAAAACUAUGAAUUGAACUCCAAAACACAUAAAUUUCAAAGUGAAGUUCAUGAAUUUCUAAAGUUUCAUCUAACGUCUAAAUCCUAUCAAAUCAACUCCAAAUAACAUUACGUUUUGCAGACAAGUUCUAAAUAUCAUAACACACUUACUCCAUGUCCCAAAAUCAAAUUCCGAUCUCGAUCAUUAAAAGUCAACCUACGAUCAAAUCUUUCAACUUCAAAUUGCCAAAUUUUAGCAAAUCAGCAUAAAUCAACCUACAGACUUUCAAAAUCAAUUUCAGGCUCACACCCAAGUCCGAAUUCACGAUAACAUUGCUAUCAGUGCCAUAAAACAGAGUUCCGGGAUCAUUUUUACGAAAAACAAAGUUUGAUCAAUAUUUUCUAAUUUAAACUUCUAAGUGAAGAAUCAAGGGUCCAAAUCAACCCGAAUGCUUCUCAGAACAAAACUUACCGAACCCGCAAGUCAUAGAAUCAUAAACACACAUGUGAGGCAAUAAAAGGGGUAAGGGGGAGCAAUUACCCAAAACAACAGGUUGGGUCGUUACAUUCUCCCCCUGUUAAAAAAAAUGUCGGUCCUCAAACAUGCAUAAGGACAUACUUGAAGUGGUAAAUAGAUGUGGAUAACGACUUUGCAUGUCGUGCUCGGUCUCCCAGGUCACCUCCUUAACCGAAUGACCCCUCCAUUGAGUCUUCACUGAACCAAUACUCUUUGACCUCAACUUCCGGACCUGCCUAUCAAAGAUCGCCACAGACUCCUUAAUAUAAGUCAAAUCCUCGUCCAAUUGGACUCUGAAGUCUAGAAUAUGGGAUGGAUAACAAUAAUACUCCUGGAGCAUAGAGACAUGGAAUACUGGAUGAACCAUAGAUAAACUAGGUGGAAAAGCAAGCUUGUAGGCCACCUCCCCAAUCCUAUAAAAGAUCUCAAAAGGUUCGAUAUACCUAGGUUUCAACUUUUCCUUCUUCCCAAACCUUAUCACACCCUUCAUGGGUUAGACUUGGAGCAAGACUCGCUCUCCAAUCGUGAAUGCAACAUCACGAACCUUCUGAUCUGCAUAACUCUUCUGUCUAUAUUGGGUUGUAUGAACCCGAUCCUGGAUCAUCUUGACCUUCUCCAAAGCAUCUUGAACAAGGUCCAUGCCUAAUAAAUUAGCCUCUUCUCGUUCAAAUCACCUAACUGGAGAACAACAUCGCCUUCUAUAUAGAGCCUCAUAUGGAGCCAUAUAAAUACGGGAUUGGUAGCUGUUGUUGUAGGCAAACUCCGCAAAUGGAAAGAAUUAGUCCCAAGUAACCUCAAAAUCCAUAACACAGGCGCAAAUUAGAUCCUCCAAAAUCUGAAUAAUGCGCUCGGACUGUCCAUCCCUCUGUAUAGCUUUCUAAAAACGCAAUAUGAACUACGUUCCCCGGUCAGGCACUAGGAUGUCAGACAAUCUCACAGAUAUAAAUAUGAGCUACAUGCUCCAAAAAAUAGGUAGUCACUACCGAAAUAAUAUGAGCCAACGUGGUCAACCAGUCCACAAUCACCCAUACCACAUCAAAUUUUUUUUAAUUCCGUGGGAGUCCAACAACGAAAUCUAUGGUGACAUGCUCCCAUUUCCACUCGGGAAUCUCAAGUUGCUGAAGCAAACCACCCGGUCGUUGUUGUUCAUACUUCACCUGCUAAAAAUUUAGGCGUCGAGCUACAUACUCUACUAUUUAUUUUUUCAUCCUCCUCUACCAAUAGUGCUAUCUCAAGUCUUGAUACAUCUUAGCAGCACUCGGAUUAAUGGAGUACUGCAAUCUGUGUGCCUCCUGAAUAAUCAACUCAGGCAACCCAUCCAUAUUGGGCACACAUAAUCGGCCAUGCAUCUGCAACACACAUUCAUCCCCAAUAGUAACCUCAUUUGCAUCGCCGUACUGAACCGUGCACUUGAGGACAAGCAAAUGGGGGUUGUCAUACUGGCGCUCUCUGAUACGGUCAUAUAGAGAUGACCGAGAAACCAUGUCAGUAAGAGCUCUACUAGGAUUCGAAACAUCCAAUCUAACAAACUGGUUGACUAAGGCCUGAACCUCCAAUGCUAACGACCUCUUCGUUAUCGGUAGAUAUGCUAGACUAUCCAAGCUCUCCACUUUUUGACUCAAGGAAUCGACCACUACAUUGGCUUUCCUGGGAUGUUAUAGAAUGGUGAUAUCAUAGUCCUUAAGCAACUCUAACCACCUCCACUGACGCAAGUUAAGAUAUUUCUGCUAUAAUAGAUGCUGUAGAUUCUGGUAGUCGGUAAAGAUCUCACAAGGAACACCGUACAAAUAAUGCUACCAGAUCUUUAAUGGAUGAACAAUGGCUGCCAACUCCAAGUCGUGGAUUGGAUAAUACUUCUCAUGGGUCUUUAGUUGUUUAGACAUGUAGUCAGUCACCCUAACGUCUUGCAUCAACAUCAUGCCAAGGCCAAUAUGUGAUACAUCAUAGUACAUAUUAUAAGACCCCGAGCCCUUAUGCAACACCAACACCGGGGUUGUAGUAAAAGUAGUCUUGAGCUUUUGAAAACUCUCCUCACACUCCUCGGUGCAUCUGAAUGGAGAACCCUUCUGGGUCAAUCUGAUCAUAGGUGCAGCAAUAGAUGAGAAGCCCUAUAUGAAACAACAAUAAUAGCCGGCCAAACCAAGAAAAUACUGGAUCAUAGUAGCUGCAGACGGUCUGGGCCAUUUCCUCAAUGCUUCGAUCUUCCUCAGAUCUACAUUGAUCCCCUCACUUGACACCACAUGACCCAAAAACACCACUAAAUCAAGCAGAAUUCACUUUGAGAAUUUCGCAUACAACUUCUUCUCUCUCAAGGUCUAAAACACGAUCCUCAAGUGCUGCUCAUGAUCUUCCCCACUUCGGUAGUACGAUGUUCAUAUGGUGCAUAACGAUGUUGGGGCAUUGGUCAGCCCAAAAUACUUUUGAGGAACUCGUAGUGAACAUACCGAGUGUCACACCUCCUUUUCACAGCCCCGGAAGGGUAUAAGGGAGUUUUUCUAAUUUAAGUGACAAUCGAAACGAGAUUAUUUAUAUUAAAAUCAGAGUCGCCACUUGAGAUAAUUUAUGGUGUCCCAAGUCAACCGGUUUAAAAUCCUGAAUCGACGAAGUUGACUCUAUUUACAAUCUGCGAACAUAGAAAUUUGAGUAAGGAAUUCUAUUAACGCGGGAGAAGGUGUUAGGCAUUCCCGGGUUCCGUGGUUUUAGCACGGUCGCUUCGAUCCUACAUGACUUAAUCAAAUUAUCUAAUUACUGAGUCUAGAACCUAUGUGCAUUUGCCUCUUUUAAUUAAGAAAUUAUCUUAAAAUAGGUCACGUGCAUGUGUACCCAUUUGUUUGGCGGGUCAAAAAUUAUUUCACAUGAACGUGUCUACAAUUAGUAACGCUUUAUUAUUAUUAAGAAUGUUUAGUCGAAGUUCUGUGAACGCAUACUCCGAUUUUAUUUUCAAGAUCGUAAUUAUGUCAUGCGAACAUGUCCACAAUCACGACAAUGGAUUUAACACGCGCCUAAAGCAAUCCUACAAUUGUUCAUUAUUCUUCCUAAAAUGCUUUCUAUGAAAUCAGGACUUGAGCAAACCAAAAAAAGAAUCUAAUGAUUAUAUGAAGGCGGAUCAUUGAUUCACUUCAACCUGGGUGUUAUCGUCAUUGCAGUACCAAAUAAAUACUGUGGAAAAUAAAGUUCUAAGACAACAACUUAACAUGCACAGCUAUUAGUAAUUCUUGAUUUGUUUUAUUUAGUUGUUAUUGAGUUCACAAUCUUGAACAUCUGUACUCUAGUAUGACAAUCAACAAAACAAAAAUAGCACAGAACGUUAUAUUUGCAAAUUACAAAGCUAGUGUUUCAUAACCUCUUUAAUCGACCUUUCUUGCCUUCGAAGUUAGAGGCCUAUUCCAUGCCUUUUCAAAACCCAGAAUUGGGCGACAUUCACAAGUGCCAUUGGACCAAGAAGCAAAGAAAAAUAAGAUAUAGAUUACCAGACAAAUCCUAUAAACUAGUCUUUCUUUCCAAAUAUACAAAUCUUGUUCUGAAGAUAUACAACAUUUAUUUAUUUUUAAAAGAACCAAAUUCAUGUUGUCUUUGAUUAACUUUCCUUUUCAACACUCAAUAUGACAAGAUUUCCCAUUAAACUAUUGUAACAAUUAAGCAAUCACCUCCCCACCACAGAAAAACAACUAGAAAUUUCUAAAAAUUUAAGACCAGAAAAAUCUAGAUCUUAGAUUUCCACCUCAUCAUUUCCAGAAUUUCGUUAAGCUAUCGAUCAACAAUUAACUUUUCAUGUAAAAUAUUCUUUGACAUUCAUAUAAACAAAGAAGCCUAAGAUCCAUAAACAACAUGGCACAAAACCAGAAUUUACAAAUGAAAUAGUGAUGGACUAAUCAUUCAAUAAUCAUAAGAUAAAAAUCCACAAAUUUUCUGAAUUGAAAAUUUAUGUAAACAUAGCAACCCAAGCAAAUCUAAGAUAACAGAAAACAAAGGGAGUUAAGACAUAAUCACAGAGACACUAAUGAAGCAAGGCAAACGAACAAAUUAGACCAUUCAUAUGAGAAAUAAAAAAAACGAAAGAAGCAGAGACUGAGUAGAACUAUGGACUGAGAUUUAAGUCCAUGAACUUAGUACUAAAAUAAGAAAAAUAUACCUCAAAGAAAACAUUCUUCAAUUAACAAGGAAAACCUUUAACUUGUUUACAACACACGUCAAACCCCGGCAACAAAUUAAACUUGGAACCACGAAUAGCAGCGAACUCAACAACUUUCAAUCGAAUUCCUUUUUUAGCCAGAAAACCAAUACAAAAGAAGGGAUUGAACGUCUAUAUACUUCGACCUUUUAAACAGUAAUCAAAACCAAAUCAAAGAAAGAACACUCAAUAUUUUUUUAUGUGUACAUCUAUAAAUCUGAAAAUAAAGAAGGAAGAGGAAAAUCCGAACAAAAAAACUUCAAGCCCUAGCUUUUCCUCGACUUUUCUUUAAUUUCCUCAAAAAAAACCAAAGACCCCUGAAUCUCUGAGAUAACCCCCUAUUUAUACUCACCUAUCUUCAAGAAAUCCGAAAAAAAAAACUUUUUAGAACGAAUCCGGAUAGAUGGAAGGAGCGGAUUGAUUGAAAAUCAAUCCAUGGGCCCCCAUUUUUCGGAAUUCAUCCUCAAAAAAUUCCAAAACGCGUCCAGCACAUGGGAGAGGAAAAAUUGUCAGAAACUGUUAGAAUCUUGAUGACAUGGUGAGAUGGGGCCCGUGUUAUUUGUGAACUCGCCUGAGUUCGACGAGUUCUGAGGUGGGUUGAGGCGCGACGGGGAUUAGGUUGAGGAACAACGCCGUUUGGGAGUAUAGGUUAGGGUUAGGUCUUGCGGAAGAAAUGUUAUAAUUGGGCUUAUAUGUGUUUGGGCAUGGGGCGGGUCGUGGGUUAGUGGUGUUUUG
RNAcentral lists this long non-coding RNA (7101 nucleotides) under Nicotiana tabacum (common tobacco). Its description in RNAcentral is "long non-coding RNA (NTAB_LNC014595)". The record is from RNAcentral. Lineage: Eukaryota; Viridiplantae; Streptophyta; Magnoliopsida; Solanales; Solanaceae.